GGAGUAUGUUGGAUGUAGCUUGAAACUACAUAAACUAAAUUUUAUUUAGAUACUCUU
Molecule: transfer RNA, 57 nt
Filed under: Aglaiogyrodactylus forficulatus
Lineage: Eukaryota; Metazoa; Platyhelminthes; Monogenea; Gyrodactylidea; Oogyrodactylidae
Description: tRNA-Ser
Source: RNAcentral